CAUAGGUUAAUGAGGCGAACCGGGGGAACUGAAACAUCUAAGUACCCCGAGGAAAAGAAAUCAACCGAGAUUCCCCCAGUAGCGGCGAGCGAACGGGGAGGAGCCCAGAGCCUGAAUCAGUGUGUGUGUUAGUGGAAGCGUCUGGAAAGGCGCGCGAUACAGGGUGACAGCCCCGUACACAAAAAUGCACAUACUGUGAGCUCGAUGAGUAGGGCGGGACACGUGGUAUCCUGUCUGAAUAUGGGGGGACCAUCCUCCAAGGCUAAAUACUCCUGACUGACCGAUAGUGAACCAGUACCGUGAGGGAAAGGCGAAAAGAACCCCGGCGAGGGGAGUGAAAAAGAACCUGAAACCGUGUACGUACAAGCAGUGGGAGCCUCUUAAUGGGGUGACUGCGUACCUUUUGUAUAAUGGGUCAGCGACUUAUAUUCUGUAGCAAGGUUAACCGAAUAGGGGAGCCGAAGGGAAACCGAGUCUUAACUGGGCGUUAAGUUGCAGGGUAUAGACCCGAAACCCGGUGAUCUAGCCAUGGGCAGGUUGAAGGUUGGGUAACACUAACUGGAGGACCGAACCGACUAAUGUUGAAAAAUUAGCGGAUGACUUGUGGCUGGGGGUGAAAGGCCAAUCAAACCGGGAGAUAGCUGGUUCUCCCCGAAAGCUAUUUAGGUAGCGCCUCGUGAAUUCAUCUCCGGGGGUAGAGCACUGUUUCGGCAAGGGGGUCAUCCCGACUUACCAACCCGAUGCAAACUGCGAAUACCGGAGAAUGUUAUCACGGGAGACACACGGCGGGUGCUAACGUCCGUCGUGAAGAGGGAAACAACCCAGACCGCCAGCUAAGGUCCCAAAGUCAUGGUUAAGUGGGAAACGAUGUGGGAAGGCCCAGACAGCCAGGAUGUUGGCUUAGAAGCAGCCAUCAUUUAAAGAAAGCGUAAUAGCUCACUGGUCGAGUCGGCCUGCGCGGAAGAUGUAACGGGGCUAAACCAUGCACCGAAGCUGCGGCAGCGACGCUUAUGCGUUGUUGGGUAGGGGAGCGUUCUGUAAGCCUGUGAAGGUGGCCUGUGAGGGUUGCUGGAGGUAUCAGAAGUGCGAAUGCUGACAUAAGUAACGAUAAAGCGGGUGAAAAGCCCGCUCGCCGGAAGACCAAGGGUUCCUGUCCAACGUUAAUCGGGGCAGGGUGAGUCGACCCCUAAGGCGAGGCCGAAAGGCGUAGUCGAUGGGAAACAGGUUAAUAUUCCUGUACUUGGUGUUACUGCGAAGGGGGGACGGAGAAGGCUAUGUUGGCCGGGCGACGGUUGUCCCGGUUUAAGCGUGUAGGCUGGUUUUCCAGGCAAAUCCGGAAAAUCAAGGCUGAGGCGUGAUGACGAGGCACUACGGUGCUGAAGCGACAAAUGCCCUGCUUCCAGGAAAAGCCUCUAAGCAUCAGGUAACAU
This 1430-nucleotide ribosomal RNA is filed under the name Escherichia coli. Its description in RNAcentral is "partial 23S ribosomal RNA". It matches the Rfam family "Bacterial large subunit ribosomal RNA", at positions 165 to 1637 of the family's 2925-position model. Lineage: Bacteria; Pseudomonadati; Pseudomonadota; Gammaproteobacteria; Enterobacterales; Enterobacteriaceae. The record is from RNAcentral. RNAcentral also lists the same sequence under 1 other name.